RNAcentral lists this ribosomal RNA (468 nucleotides) under uncultured bacterium. RNAcentral's name for it is "partial 16S ribosomal RNA". It matches the Rfam family "Bacterial small subunit ribosomal RNA", at positions 28 to 507 of the family's 1533-position model. The record is from RNAcentral.
GACGAACGCUGGCGGCGUGCUUAACACAUGCAAGUCGAACGGAAAGGCCCUGCUUUUGUGGGGUGCUCGAGUGGCGAACGGGUGAGUAACACGUGAGUAACCUGCCCUUGACUUUGGGAUGACUUCAGGAAACUGGGGCUAAUACCGGAUAGGAACUCCUGCUGCAUGGUGGGGGGUGGAAAGUUUCGGCGGUUGGGGAUGGACUCGCGGCUUAUGAGCUUGUUGGUGGGGUAGUGGCUUACCAAGGCUUUGACGGGUAGCCGGCCUGAGAGGGUGACCGGGCACAUUGGGACUGAGAUACGGCCCAGACUCCUACGGGGGGCAGCAGUGGGGAAUAUUGUGCAAUGGGCGGAAGCCUGAUGCAGCGACGCCGCGUGUGGGAUGACGGCCUUCGGGUUGUAAACCGCUUUCGCCUGUGACGAAGCGUGAGUGACGGUAAUGGGAAAAGAAGCACCGGCUAACUACGUG